UACGUAGGGUGCAAGCGUUAUCCGGAUUUACUGGGUGUAAAGGGCGAGUAGACGGCGUUGCAAGUCAGAUGUGAAAACCUAGAGCUUAACUUUAGGACUGCAUCUGAAACUGUAAUGCUAGAGUGCAGGAGAGGUAAGCGGAAUUCCUAGUGUAGCGGUGAAAUGCGUAGAUAUUAGGAAGAACAUCAGUGGCGAAGGCGGCUUACUGGACUGUAACUGACGUUGAGGCGCGAAAGCGUGGGGAGCAAACAGG
Molecule: ribosomal RNA, 253 nt
Filed under: uncultured bacterium
Lineage: Bacteria
Description: partial 16S ribosomal RNA
Rfam family: Bacterial small subunit ribosomal RNA
Source: RNAcentral